CAGCAAAUGAGCACAUGGAUGAGAGUAACCCCAGGAUGAGAUCUCAGUGGUCACAGGAAGUAUCUCUACAGUCUUCAUUGUCUUGGCUGCAAGGACUCUGUUUAACACUUGCUGGUGACUUCCUCAUAGCUGCUGGAGCCCAAUGUUUAAGGUCUUCUCGAGGAGAUCACUUCCUGCCUAAUUCAGCUGAACUCCCAGCCAACUGGAACUCGACUUUGAGUUCUCAGCAGCUCAGCUGUUCAAAGACAGAUGGCUUAGGACUCAAAGAGGAAGGACACCCACAGCGGUCAAGGCCAGGAGACAUCCAAAGUACAGAGACUGCACUGUGGUCACUUGACUUCACCUGCUCUCAGGAUGCCUCUUGCACAGCUGACUCCAGUAUUUCCACCUUGCAAGAAGCAAGCCUCUGUACCUCCUCUUCACUUCUCAGAGGUCUGGACCUGUGGGAAGCCGUUGCAGAGUGACAGUUGCAGAGUGGCAGUUGGCUACUGCUGGCCACCACACAUACAUAGGCAGUGAAGGUUCUUUUGCCAAGACAAGUUAACCAAUCAGAUGUGAGACACGCCUCUCCUAGGCCUAUAAAAGCAGCACCAGUUCUGGGCUUGGGGUCACUUUGCCUCUACAAUCAAGUUCUCCCAAUAAACGUGUGCAGAAGGAUCCUGUUGCA
RNAcentral lists this long non-coding RNA (667 nucleotides) under Mus spicilegus (steppe mouse). RNAcentral's name for it is "lncRNA (ENSMSIG00000001815.1)". The record is from RNAcentral. Lineage: Eukaryota; Metazoa; Chordata; Mammalia; Rodentia; Muridae.